This is a non-coding RNA of Brachypodium distachyon (stiff brome), 126 nucleotides long. Lineage: Eukaryota; Viridiplantae; Streptophyta; Magnoliopsida; Poales; Poaceae. The record is from Rfam.
AACAUACUCCCUCCGUCCCAUAUUAAGUGACUUUCUAUUACAUGUAUCUAGACGUAUUUUAGUAUAUAGAUACGUCCAUAUUUAGACAAAUUUGAGUCACUUAUAAUUGGAAGGAGGGAGUAUUAG